Molecule: ribosomal RNA, 523 nt
Filed under: uncultured bacterium
Lineage: Bacteria
Description: bacterial SSU rRNA
Rfam family: Bacterial small subunit ribosomal RNA
Source: RNAcentral
AGAGUUUGAUCCUGGCUCAGAUUGAACGCUGGCGGCAUGCCUUACACAUGCAAGUCGAACGGCAGCACGGGGGUAACCCUGGUGGCGAGUGGCGAACGGGUGAGUAAUACAUCGGAACGUGUCCUGGAGUGGGGGAUAGCCCGGCGAAAGCCGGAUUAAUACCGCAUACGCUCUAUGGAGGAAAGCGGGGGAUCUUCGGACCUCGCGCUCAAGGGGCGGCCGAUGGCGGAUUAGCUAGUUGGUAGGGUAAAGGCCUACCAAGGCGACGAUCCGUAGCUGGUCUGAGAGGACGACCAGCCACACUGGGACUGAGACACGGCCCAGACUCCUACGGGAGGCAGCAGUGGGGAAUUUUGGACAAUGGGGGCAACCCUGAUCCAGCAAUGCCGCGUGUGUGAAGAAGGCCUUCGGGUUGUAAAGCACUUUUGUCCGGAAAGAAAUCCUCUGGGUUAAUACCUCGGGGGGAUGACGGUACCGGAAGAAUAAGCACCGGCUAACUACGUGCCAGCCGCCGCGGUAAUUC